GGGCUUGACAUCCCACGAACCUGUCGAAUGGCAGGAGUGCCUGCAAGGGAGCGCGGAGACAGGUGGUGCAUGGCUGUCGUCAGCUCGUGUCGUGUGAUGUUGGGUUAAGUCCCGCAACGAGCGCAACCCUCACCUCUUGUUGCCAUCAGGUCAUGCUGGGCACUCUAGAGGAACUGCCCCGGUCAACGGGGAGGAAGGCGGGGAUGACGUCAAGUCAUCAUGCCCCUUACGUCCUGGGCAACACACGUGGUACAAUGGCCGGUACAAAGGGAUGCCACACCGCGAGGUAGAGCUAAACCCAAAAAGCCGGUCUAAGUUCGGAUUGGAGUCUGCAACUCGACUCCAUGAAGGAGGAAUCGCUAGUAAUCGCGUAUCAGCACGACGCGGUGAAUACGUUCCCGGGCCUUGUACACACCGCCCGUCACACCACGAAAGCCAGCUGUACUCGAAGUCGCUGAG
RNAcentral lists this ribosomal RNA (459 nucleotides) under uncultured bacterium. Its description in RNAcentral is "bacterial SSU rRNA". It matches the Rfam family "Bacterial small subunit ribosomal RNA", at positions 977 to 1434 of the family's 1533-position model. The record is from RNAcentral.